GUCUUAAAAACGGCUUUUCAUGACGAAGUGGUUUUCGUGUCCGAGAAGACAGGAAGAUACAACACCGUGGAAAAGGUCUUUAUUGAUCAGGCUCAACGUCUGGCCCUUCAGAGGGAGAUAGACAAGGAGUCCCAGUCCACGGUUUCAGUCAGAUCGCUGGUUUGUAUCUGGUUCUGUGUUGCUCUCCAACAUGACACUGACUGCAUCCCAAAUGCCACCAUAUCCCCUAUUUAGUGCACCACCUUUGAACCAGGACACAUUGGGUCAGAAGAAGUGCACUAUAUAGAAAAUAGGGUUUCAUUUAGGACACACACUGUCAAUAUCAAUAUUGUGUCCAUUUUAAACUGAAAAUGCAUUCUCUACAAUGUCCUUUGAAGUGACUGCUUCUUUCAAACAGAUCCAUAUUGU
This 408-nucleotide long non-coding RNA is filed under the name Oncorhynchus mykiss (rainbow trout). RNAcentral describes it as "lncRNA (ENSOMYG00000049101.1)". Lineage: Eukaryota; Metazoa; Chordata; Actinopteri; Salmoniformes; Salmonidae. The record is from RNAcentral.